Molecule: unclassified non-coding RNA, 220 nt
Filed under: soil metagenome
Description: partial contains 5.8S ribosomal RNA, internal transcribed spacer 2, and large subunit ribosomal RNA
Source: RNAcentral
AACCAUAGAAACCUGCGGAGUACCUGCGGCGGGAUCAUUACAAGAAUCGAGGCUGACGGUGCCUACUCCCUAGGCUCCGUCCAGUCCCGCUCUCUACCUUGCCUACUGCACCGUUUGUUGCUUCCUGGCGGCGUCCCGUCGCCAGGGCCUUUUGAAAGCCAAGUAUAAGCAUUGAAACUUCUGACAUACACUAAAUCGUACAACUUUUAACAAUGGAUCU